GAUGAACGCUGGCGGCGUGCCUAAUACAUGCAAGUCGAGCGAACGGACGAGAAGCUUGCUUCUCUGAUGUUAGCGGCGGACGGGUGAGUAGCACGUGGAUAACCUACCUAUAAGACUGGGAUAACUUCGGGAAACCGGAGCUAAUACCGGAUAAUAUUUUGAACCGCAUGGUUCAAAAGUGAAAGACGGUCUUGCUGUCACUUAUAGAUGGAUCCGCGCUGCAUUAGCUAGUUGGUAAGGUAACGGCUUACCAAGGCAACGAUGCAUAGCCGACCUGAGAGGGUGAUCGGCCACACUGGAACUGAGACACGGUCCAGACUCCUACGGGAGGCAGCAGUAGGGAAUCUUCCGCAAUGGGCGAAAGCCUGACGGAGCAACGCCGCGUGAGUGAUAAAGGUCUUCGGAUCGUAAAACUCUGUUAUUAGGGAAGAACAUAUGUGUAAGUAACUGUGCACAUCUUGACGGUACCUAAUCAGAAAGCCACGGCUAACUACGUG
Molecule: ribosomal RNA, 497 nt
Filed under: uncultured bacterium
Lineage: Bacteria
Description: partial 16S ribosomal RNA
Rfam family: Bacterial small subunit ribosomal RNA
Source: RNAcentral